AUUGAACGCUGGCGGCAGGCCUAACACAUGCAAGUCGAGCGGUAGAGAGAAGCUUGCUUCUCUUGAGAGCGGCGGACGGGUGAGUAAUGCCUAGGAAUCUGCCUGGUAGGGGGGGAUAACGUUCGGAAACGGACGCUAAUACCGCAUACGUCCUACGGGAGAAAGCAGGGGACCUUCGGGCCUUGCGCUAUCAGAUGAGCCUAGGUCGGAUUAGCUAGUUGGUGAGGUAAUGGCUCACCAAGGCGACGAUCCGUAACUGGUCUGAGAGGAUGAUCAGUCACACUGGAACUGAGACACGGGCCAGACUCCUACGGGAGGCAGCAGUGGGGAAUAUUGGACAAUGGGCGAAAGCCUGAUCCAGCCAUGCCGCGUGUGUGAAGAAGGUCUUCGGAUUGUAAAGCACUUUAAGUUGGGAGGAAGGGUUGUAGAUUAAUACUCUGCAAUUUUGACGUUACCGACAGAAUAAGCACCGGCUAACUCUGUGCCAGCCGCCGCGGUAA
RNAcentral lists this ribosomal RNA (500 nucleotides) under uncultured bacterium. RNAcentral describes it as "partial 16S ribosomal RNA". It matches the Rfam family "Bacterial small subunit ribosomal RNA", at positions 30 to 523 of the family's 1533-position model. The record is from RNAcentral.